Molecule: long non-coding RNA, 585 nt
Organism: Lagopus leucura (white-tailed ptarmigan)
Lineage: Eukaryota; Metazoa; Chordata; Aves; Galliformes; Phasianidae
Exons: 4
Source: RefSeq, a predicted model, not a curated record
ACUGCAAAGCUCUUGUACAACUAAGGCUGUACAUGCUGUAUGAAGGCUAUGACUGCUGAAAUGAGAGGUUGUCUGUGCUGAGGCUACGGGGGAAGUGGAAGCAAAGCCAACAGACUGAGGACAUGCGAGUGCUGUGCCGCCUUUCUGUAUCGCUUUCUUGGAUGAACCAAAGGCUUGGCAAAGCAAGAGACAUUAGGUAAGCAGCUGAUGGGUUUAGGCUGUCAUGCAUCUGUGACUUCAGCUUCCUGAACAAUCAUCCACGAGAAAUUUGAAUCACAAGACUGGAGAUCUCACAGAUGUUAAUAAGCCCAACUGUGCUGCAGGAGCACCUAUGGAACAAGCUAUGUAACAUGCCUGCUCUUUCUAGAGAAAAUACAACUUCAUCCUGACCAAGCUGAUUUAGCUGUAUACUCAGCUAAAUUAGUGAAUCUGAAAUGGACCCUUGACUCCUAACUUUAUGUCGCACAUAUGGUAAUGCACACUGCUUUUUUUUUAAUUGUAGAAAACUGCAUCCUUUUGCUUGCAUCCACCCAUUUGAGUCACAUUAAAAAAAUGUGAAAUAACUCCCUGAGUCCACAGCAAAUA